This is a long non-coding RNA of Labeo rohita (rohu), 2635 nucleotides long. RefSeq lists it as uncharacterized. The record is from RefSeq and is a predicted model, not a curated record. NCBI's taxonomy places the organism in Eukaryota, Metazoa, Chordata, Actinopteri, Cypriniformes, Cyprinidae. The transcript is spliced from 6 exons.
CUGAGGAUGACACUUCAAAUUGGCCUUUCACGCAUAUAAGGACACCAUCUUUAUUUUUGUUAAAGCACUUAUUUCAAUCCUUCAGACUCAGCACACAGGUAACGCGCCGCCCCAGGUGACGACCCCCAGGCUCAGACGUCUGUCCCGGGCCGCUGUGGGCCCCUCGGAGCCCGUCACAGGUCUCUCCUGCUGGGCUCUUCGCUCAGGACAAUGGCCAGUGGACCUGAAUGAGGGAUGCUGAUCAUUUUGAACAAAAACAUCAGAUCGUAAAGAAGAAUUCAAAAUGCAAACAAGGGAUUCUGCAUUCCUGAAGUCUUUCUGAUGAGUGUCACACUUCAGCACGAGCUUGUUUGGAUGAAUCUGUGCUUGUUAUUGCAGUGCCAACAGACAGACGUGAGUGGAGAGCGAGAGCUGCAUGUGAAGCUGGUGUCUCCUCAGGCCUUUGACUCCUCAGACAGACACUGAGUGCAGGAGCUCCAGGGGUCUUAAGCGUCUCACAGCUCCUGAUGACAGAUAAUCAUCUGGAUCAUCUGAGACUCUAAUAGAGCCCGCAGGGGUCCAGAUAAGAUCACAUCUACAGGAUCAAAGCAGGUGAGGUUAACGAGUUAAACCGCCGGAAGUGAUUUCGUAAGAUUUCAUCAAAAGCUCGAUCUCGUGCAAGAGCUGCUGUAUCAGCCGUCCUGCUCCACACGUCAUCCGUCUUCACCUCAGAGACUUUGAGCUGCUUUAAAUGACUUUAUCACCAUAGCAACUGUGUUUCCAAACACACACACACACACACGCAUUCUGGAGGAGGUAAAUAUGGCAACACUGGGCCAAACGUCUACCUGACUGUGCACUUUCACACACUAACAUUACACCUGGAAUUUAUCACUGUAAACUUGCGAAAUGCUGCUUGACCUGUCAAAUGAUAGUGCUGAGAAAAUUCAUGGAAAAAGCCGCAGAUACUUAGAAGAGAUGACCAUGUGCCAGCUGGAUUAAAUAUUUGGACGUUACUACUUAAAUAUCUACUCAUGUCAGGUGAAAACCCAGCUAACAAAAACAAAAAACAAAGCCAUUUUGCUAAUGUUCACAUUAUGCUGUGAAAGCAUUGUUCCUGAUGUUUCCAGAACAUUCCAAACGUCCAGUUUUUUUUGUUGUUUUUUUAAAAAAGAAUGUUAAGGAAACAUUCCAUUGUAUCAUUUUGCAAACAUUAUGGAAAUGUUACAUUUGAAUGUUCUCUGAACAUUCUAAAACGAGUCAUAACAUUUAAAAAAUGUUAGAUGAACAUCUAACUGAAACAUUUCAGUAAAAAUGAUGUAUAAAUAACAUUUUUAAGGUAACAUUUUGAGAACCUUAUUAAAGACCUAGUAAUACUGAACAUUAAUUCUAUUUAAUUUAAAGUUUAAACCAGUAACCAGGCAUCACAGCUGGCAAAGGGGCAUGUGUGACUUUGACAUGUAUAUAUUGCCAUUAUUAUGUAAUCAAAAUGAAAAUUAUAAUUGCUGGUCUUCAAUGAUAAUGUCAACUUACUUUGAUGUAUUUGCACUAAAAAAUGAUAAGGAUUUAUGAUGAUAUCAUCCAAAACCACACUUUGCCAGGGGUAUUUCCAAACUUUUGGAGGGCAGUGUAUAAAUUUAGCUUUUAAGCCUAAUGAAACUCCAAUCUGUUCAUUAAACCAUUGAUCACAAAUAAAUCAAGUGCACACAAAUGGUUUAACAAAUGAUAAAAAAAUGAAUAAGGUUCACGGCAUGAUAUCAAAUUGUCCAAUGUGCUCAGCUGUUUAUGAUUUAACUUCAAAACAGAAGGAAAAACAGGUUAUUUUCACAUCAAGAUACUAUUAAAAUAUUUAUUAAUAUUUUUAUAUUUAUUAAUAUUUAUUUCAGAUAUUUUAGUACAUCUUUGUAAAUAACCUUGAGAAAACCUUUCCAGAACAUUCCCAGCUGUGAAAAUCUGAUAACCUUUAAAAAUAACUUUAACAUUAUAAAAUCUACAGUGCAAGAUUAUAUAUAUGUGACCCUGGACCACAAAACCAGUCUUAAGUCGCUGGGGUUUAUUUGCAGCAAUAGCCAAAAAUACAUUGUAUGGGUCAAAAUGAUUGAUUUUUCUUUUAUGGCAAAAAUCAUUAGGAAAUUAAGUUAAGAUCAUGCUCCAUUAAGAUAUUUUGUAAAAUUCCUACUGUAAAUGUAUGAAAACUUAAUUUUUGCUUAGUAAUAUACAUUGUUAAGAACUGUAUUUGGACAACUUUAAAGGCAAUUUUCUCAAUAUUUAGAUUUUUUUGCACCCUCAGAUUCCAGAUAUUCAAAUAGUUGUAUCUCGAACAAAUAUUGUCCUAUCCUAACAAACCAUACAUCAUUGGAAAGCUUAUAUAUUCAGCUUUCAGAUGACCCUUAUGACUGGUUUUGUGAUCCAGGGUCUAUAUGUGUGUGUAUAUAAAUAUUAGCUUUUAGACCUAAUGAAACUCAAAAUUGUUCAUUAAACCAUUUUAGGUAAUGAUCACAAAUAACAAUCUGCACAAAAAAAUGAUUAAUUGCAUAAUAUCAGAUUGUCCGAUGUGAGUUAUUGUAGCAUCACUGAGAUACUAUUAAAAUGUGCAUUCAUAUUUUUAUUGUAAUUUUUGUUUUUUGGUGUUUUUUUUUUAUUUUUAUAAUUAAUA